Molecule: ribosomal RNA, 468 nt
Filed under: uncultured bacterium
Lineage: Bacteria
Description: partial 16S ribosomal RNA
Rfam family: Bacterial small subunit ribosomal RNA
Source: RNAcentral
GACGAACGCUGGCGGCGUGCUUAACACAUGCAAGUCGAACGGAAAGGCCCUGCGCUUGUGGGGUUCUCGAUUGGCGAACGGGGGAGUAACACGUGUGUAUCAUGCCCUUGUCUUUGGGAUAACUUCAGGAGACAGGGGCGAAUACCGGAGAGGAUCUCCUGCUGCACGGUGGGGGUUGGAAAGUUUCGGCGGUUGGGGAUGGUCUCGCGGCUUAUGAGCUGCUUGGUGGGGUAGUGGCUUACAAAGGUUUUGACGGGUAGCCGGCCUGGGAGGGUGACCGGCGUCAUGGGGACUGCGGUACGGCCCAGAAUGCUACGGGAGGCAGCAGUGGGGAGUAUUGCGGAGUGGGCGGAAGCCUGAUGCAGCGGCGCCGCGUGCGGAAUGACGGCCUUUGGGUGGUGAACCGAUUUCGAAUGAGACGAAGAGUGAGUGACGGUACUGGGUAAGGAAGCACCGGCUAACUACGUG